RNAcentral lists this ribosomal RNA (526 nucleotides) under Buttiauxella sp. B22. Its description in RNAcentral is "bacterial SSU rRNA". It matches the Rfam family "Bacterial small subunit ribosomal RNA", at positions 40 to 557 of the family's 1533-position model. The record is from RNAcentral. Lineage: Bacteria; Pseudomonadati; Pseudomonadota; Gammaproteobacteria; Enterobacterales; Enterobacteriaceae.
CGCGCAGGCCUAACACAUGCAAGUCGAGCGGUAGCACAGGGAGCUUGCUCCUGGGUGACGAGCGGCGGACGGGUGAGUAAUGUCUGGGAAACUGCCUGAUGGAGGGGGAUAACUACUGGAAACGGUAGCUAAUACCGCAUAACGUCUUCGGACCAAAGAGGGGGACCUUCGGGCCUCUUGCCAUCAGAUGUGCCCAGAUGGGAUUAGCUAGUAGGUGAGGUAAUGGCUCACCUAGGCGACGAUCCCUAGCUGGUCUGAGAGGAUGACCAGCCACACUGGAACUGAGACACGGUCCAGACUCCUACGGGAGGCAGCAGUGGGGAAUAUUGCACAAUGGGCGCAGCCUGAUGCAGCCAUGCCGGGUGUAUGAAGAAGGCCUUCGGGUUGUAAAGUACUUUCAGCGAGGAGGAAGGCAUUGUGGUUAAUAACCGCAGUGAUUGACGUUACUCGCAGAAGAAGCACCGGCUAACUCCGUGCCAGCAGCCGCGGUAAUACGGAGGGUGCAAGCGUUAAUCGGAAUUACUGG